This is a long non-coding RNA of Pongo pygmaeus (Bornean orangutan), 657 nucleotides long. RefSeq lists it as uncharacterized. The record is from RefSeq and is a predicted model, not a curated record. Lineage: Eukaryota; Metazoa; Chordata; Mammalia; Primates; Hominidae. The transcript is spliced from 4 exons.
AUGCCCUCCUCACAUAUGUCAGCAUCCCAAUUCUUGAUGUAUGGGAGGGUCUAUUUCCAGAGGCAAUGUCUGGUAAUAGUUAUUGUACAAGUCAUAUUCCCAGCAGAGACAGCACUUUCACUUUUAAGUGGGGGCCCAUUGAUUAAGUCCAACUGAAAGCUAGAAGCAUGAGGCAUGUGGAUGCCAUCUGCAUAAGUCUGCAUCCACGCAUCAAGGAAGGAAGAGCGGAACUGGAUCUGGAGAGGAGAGAGAUACAAAUUACAUUAAAAGCCCAGAGAAAAGAGUCACUAUCAUCCAGCUACAUGAACAGAGCAUUCUCAGGUAAGAAGCCCAGAAGGCCAAACCCCAAGUUCUGCUUCAGUCAUCCCUAAACAGUCAAGACUUAAUCAAGGAUGACCACCUACCACUUAAGACAAACUAGAAAAAGCCAAAUAUGCUCUCCAGCCAAUCACAUAAGAUGACCUGUUUCUCCUUAAGCCAACCUCAGCUUCUCCAUACCAGCAACCUCCAGCCACAGCAUAUCUGAAGCCUUCUCUUUCCCCCCAACUCACUAUAAAUCUUUCCCACACCCCGCUGUGCUUGGAAGCAUUGGGCAAACAAAAGUGAUGGUGGCCAACUCCCUUGUCAUAGCAAGCCCUGAAUAAAGAUUGUAUUCUC